This 450-nucleotide ribosomal RNA is filed under the name uncultured bacterium. Its description in RNAcentral is "bacterial SSU rRNA". It matches the Rfam family "Bacterial small subunit ribosomal RNA", at positions 354 to 796 of the family's 1533-position model. The record is from RNAcentral.
GUGGGGAAUAUUGGACAAUGGGCGCAAGCCUGAUCCAGCCAUGCCGCGUGUGUGAAGAAGGUCUUCGGAUUGUAAAGCACUUUAAGUUGGGAGGAAGGGCAGUAAGUUAAUACCUUGCUGUUUUGACGUUACCGACAGAAUAAGCACCGGCUAACUUCGUGCCAGCAGCCGCGGUAAUACGAAGGGUGCAAGCGUUAAUCGGAAUUACUGGGCGUAAAGCGCGCGUAGGUGGUUUUGUAAGUUGGAGGUGAAAUCCCCGGGCUCAACCUGGGAACUGCCUCCAAAACUGCAUGACUAGAGUACGGUAGAGGGUAGUGGAAUUUCCUGUGUAGCGGUGAAAUGCGUAGAUAUAGGAAGGAACACCAGUGGCGAAGGCGACUACCUGGACUGAUACUGACACUGAGGUGCGAAAGCGUGGGGAGCAAACAGGAUUAGAAACCCCAGUAGUCC